UGGGGAAUAUUGCACAAUGGGCGCAAGCCUGAUGCAGCCAUGCCGCGUGUAUGAAGAAGGCCUUCGGGUUGUAAAGUACUUUCAGUCGGGAGGAAGGUGUCAAGGUUAAUAACCUUGGCAAUUGACGUUACCGACAGAAGAAGCACCGGCUAACUCCGUGCCAGCAGCCGCGGUAAUACGGAGGGUGCAAGCGUUAAUCGGAAUUACUGGGCGUAAAGCGCACGCAGGCGGUCUGUCAAGUCGGAUGUGAAAUCCCCGGGCUCAACCUGGGAAAUGCAUUCGAAACUGGCAGGCUAGAGUGUUGUAGAGGGGGGUAGAAUUCCAGGUGUAGCGGUGAAAUGCGUAGAGAUCUGGAGGAAUACCGGUGGCGAAGGCGGCCCCCUGGACAAAGACUGACGCUCAGGUGCGAAAGCGUGGGGAGCAAACAGG
Molecule: ribosomal RNA, 429 nt
Filed under: Chloroflexota bacterium
Lineage: Bacteria; Bacillati; Chloroflexota
Description: Chloroflexi bacterium partial 16S ribosomal RNA
Rfam family: Bacterial small subunit ribosomal RNA
Source: RNAcentral